Phalacrocorax carbo (great cormorant) is the source of this 3948-nucleotide non-coding RNA. NCBI's taxonomy places the organism in Eukaryota, Metazoa, Chordata, Aves, Suliformes, Phalacrocoracidae. The record is from RefSeq and is a predicted model, not a curated record.
GCUUACUUGUGUGUUUGAGUUUGGGGUUUUUGAAUGCUUGAAUAUUUGGGGGGAAAGAGAGGACUAUUUCUGCUGCUUUUUUUUUUUCCACAUGGGGUUUGAAUACCCAUGAGAGGUCCACCUGCCCCAGGAUCUGCACCUGUGCCCUGACCCACAAGCUGAUGCCCUGGGCUGUGGGCUGCCCCCAGGUGCCCCCAGCCUGCCCAACUCCCCAGCCACCCUGCCAGCCUGGAGAACCCCACAGCUCCCUGGCCUAAGACCUCAGGUCGACCUUGAGCACUCCCUGAGCUCCAGCAGCCAAACCUUCAGGAGAGCGGAUACUCUUAGGGCCCCGAGAGGCUGGAGAGCUGAGUGAAGAGAGUUUGGACCUUAAAAGGAAAAUGAGCUAAGGCUUUAAUUAGUGGGGCCACAGAGAAAGACAUGAAGAACGGCUGUGGAGAGCAAUAAGUAUAUGCUGAAAGCUUACAGGGAAACUGAUGCCAAGCAGAUUGCAGUACAUUUUAAAUUCCAAAUGUAGACAGACUCACAUGUAUGGAUGCCAAACACAACUGUUUUCUAUAUAAUUCUAAGAAGGUAGGAAAUGCAAACAAAUUCAAAAGCACAGAUUUGUGGUAACUGGGAAAUGCUCUGCUUCAGCAACUGCUCUACCCCUUGGCAUGAUCACAGAGAAUUGAUUCUGCUCUCUUAAAAACACCAGCUGUUCACUGCUGAAGGCUGUUUGUUGGUUUGCACCAUAUACACUAGGGCAAAAGAGACACAAGUUUAUGUUCUUGUAGCCCAUCUGUACCAGGUCUUGACCCACACAGCUCCGUCAGUGCAAAUACUGGCACAUCAGCCAGGAAACCCAGUAGCAAAGGUGACUACACACAAAAUCCUCUCAAAUGUACGAAGUAAAUGAAAAAUAUCAGCAAUCUGUGGGGUUACUGAAAAUGGCAAGCAUGCUAUUUUCAGGCAAACAUGAUUUGUGAGGCGAUGGCUGCUUCACAGGCAGAGUCACAGAAGCUUAGCCUCUGCAGCAUCUCUCUUACGUAAGCAGCACUUUCCAUGGCAGGAAGAGGUGCAGAUAAGAGCAGUGGUUUAGGGCUUGUGCUGAUAGCACAAAAUGAGCAGAAGCUGCUGGCAAGUCAAAACAGGUAGGAAAAAUACAGGAAGAGGCCAUAGAAAAGUGAAAAACAUUUCAUGUCGGAAGGGUUGGACUCUCAGGUGUGGAUGAAGCCAGAAGCGAUGUGACAUUUGCCGAGCCACCUCCUGCUCCAACCGCUUUCUCCAGUUACUCCUGGCUGGCAGUGUGCUGUUAGCAUAAAAGCAGGAGUGCAAGCAGCACUGGCUGAAGCGUGGCUAAACCAGGCACCAAGUGAGGUGCAGCACAACUGCUGUAUUCUUCUAUCCUGGCAGGUGAGACCCCACCCGUCAAUGGGAUUACCUGCUGUGGGGCAGGAGGCUGAGUGGGCAGGUCACCUCUCUGGAGAGGGCUGCAGUGGCAGGGUGCCGCUGGGAAGCACGGCCCCAGCACAGCUCCAUGGCAGGCUGGUCCCGCUAUCUGCACCACUCUGGGGCCUCUGCUGCCCUGGGAUUAAGUGCCAGAGGCAGCUGUGGCAGAGAGGCUGCCAGCCAGCCUGGGAACUCCCAUGGCCACCCAGCAAUCCUCCCUCUUGAAUCUGGGUAGAAGAUUAUUUCCUCCUGAGUCUUAGUAAAAAUGUGAUCUAGUAUCGAGACUUAAGGUUAUUAUUCUGAUGUCUGCAGGCAUCCUUCCAUGUGAAAAAAUUAAGAGCUUUUUGUCUAGGAUAUUACAUGCUUUGCUAAUAAACCACUUUGACAAUCCUUAAAAGAAUAAUGUUCCUGGGAGUGCAAGAAGUGAUGCGCUGUUUCUACGCUCUCCUCACCCUUUGUGUUUCUGAGUGGCACAACAUCACAUGGCGCAAUUCAUCCGGCAUUUUCACAUUUGGAGAAGCAGUCAGAAUGGAGCAAUCCAGCCAUGCCAGCUGAAUACACUGUCGUUAACUGACAGAUGUCUCGAGUGCAACAGGAGUCACGAGGCUGUCGUGGAGGUGCUGACUUCUAAAUCCCAACUGCAUGCAGAACCUUGGCAUAUUGUCAGCAUGUACAAUUUUCAAUUUCACGGGACAUUUCUUUUGGUGUUACCAGUGGAUUUUGUUUUACCUUCAUCUUCCCUUUUUUAUUAACACUGCAGGAAUUAUUUCCUGGGGCUCUCUCCUGUCUUAGCUGAUAAUGUUUGUGCUGUGUGAUUCCCAGGGGGUUUCUGAGACCUGAGCUUGCACGACUGCAUGUGUAUAUACGCUCAUAUACAAAUGCCAGAGAAUUCAGUAAAAUGAAAGCUGUCACAGGCCAAUUUACUACAGUCCCAAAGUUUGAAAGGUAUUUAGGUUAGUAUAAAACCAGGUUUCAGCUCCGGUCAGCUUUUCUUUGCAGAAUACAGAGAACAGCUGCCUGGCUGGCGGGUGCUGCCUGAACAAAGGUCUCCUUCUACUCUGAGUGGCCUCGGGGGGAAGCUGCUGCUGCGUCUGGCAGGCCUGGCAGCAGGGCCCGAAAUAGGGAUUUGCCCUGUACAGCUGUGGAGGUCAGACAAUCCAGGGCUGUAUUUUAUGUAUUUUUAUAUAUAUAUAUAUAUAUAUAGUAAGCGUGGGAGUACAUUUUUCUCCUGCAACCUACUCAGACCUUGGAGAGAAGCAAAGUGGGCUGAGUCAGUUCCUCAGACACUGCCCUUUUGCACAUUUUAAUCUUAUUUUUAAGAAUCCAAAGCAGGGUAAGCACAGCUCUCAGCUUUUUUGGCCAAGAUCUGACCGCACUCAUUUCAACAGACAGAACUUUGGUUUCAACAUGUAUUAAACUACCAGCUUUUUCAAGCUGAAGUGCAAUAUGUUGCAUUACUCUUAUGUCGAGAGUGAUAGAGCACUUUCAUCAACUGAUCCACUUUGCUCAGUUAGACUUUACUGAUCUUGCUUUUCUUUUCUCUGCUUAAAUUAAUACCGUCAUAUUUGUAAUUGAACUCAGUGGUAGCCAAGGCUAUAAAGGCAUAUAAAUGCAAAACCCUGCCUCUCCAAAGUCUUCAGUCUCACUGAGAAUGAAGCUCACAGAAGCACAUUCAGAUCAAAAUCAAUGCUACCUAAACCAGAAAAAAAUUCAUGUGCAGAGGCUCAUUUUGGAUCCUUCUAUAUGCCUUAUGGGAGAAUAAUUAUCUUUGUACACUGCAGACAUUUAUCUUUCCUUAUUCUAUGCAUUCUGUGAACAAACUGUUGAGUUCACUGCUUUGAUAAAAGCUUUUUAAAACACUUUAAUAAUUCUCCACUCAACACAACCCACACUGGCUCUUUUUUUUUUUUAUUAAAGUGGAGGUUUAUCAAGAAGAUCACAGAUUUUCCUGUGUUUGUUGUGAAAUCCACAUGGGAAAAAUCAAAUAAUUCUUGGUAUUUAAUAUAAUAAUUCUAACUACAUCAUAAGGUAAAGAACCUUAAUGUCACUAUCUAUGCAAGAUAUGAAAAUGUGUGUCUCCAGAAAUAAUGACCUUAUUACAGCAUUGAACUUGUGUGGGUGGAAGCCUGCUUUACAAGAAGCCCGUGGGAAAUAUCAUGUAUGUCGCCUGCCUAUUGUACAUUAUAGGGGAGCCCAGAGGUACAAUAAGAUGCACAUUUGGUAAGGGUCUUUCAUGUAAGAAAUCAUUAAUUUAAUGCAUUAAUCACUGGAGUGCAAUCAUAGACCUUAAUUUAGAAGGCAUUAGUCAUUCGCCAUAGAUAACCUUCAGUGGCUAUGAGAAUUUCAUAGUCUGAGUUCAUUACAACUGGCAAACAUCGUUUGCACAACCAGCACACACAAGGACCUGUUCUUUGGCUGGAAGCACAUUUUUUCAGUAUUAAAUCCACUCCAUUAAAUAUGAGAGAGCACCUGUUUGGGUCUUAUUUCAAUAAAGAUUAUAUCUUGGCUGCAUUUUAA